RNAcentral lists this ribosomal RNA (889 nucleotides) under uncultured bacterium. RNAcentral's name for it is "bacterial SSU rRNA". It matches the Rfam family "Bacterial small subunit ribosomal RNA", at positions 8 to 916 of the family's 1533-position model. The record is from RNAcentral.
AGAGUUUGAUCCUGGCUCAGGAUGAACGUUGGCGGUGUGCCUAAUACAUGCAAGUUGAACGGGGCUAAUAGCAAUAUUGGCUUAGUGGCGAACGGGUGAGUAACGCGUUGGUGAUCUGCCUUGAAGUGUGGAAUAACGUUUCGAAAGGAACGCUAAUACCGCAUGUGCUCUCGAUUUUCAGAAAGUUGAGAGUAAAGGAUUUAUUCGCUUCAAGAGGAGCCUGCGUCCCAUCAGCUGGUUGGUAGGGUAACGGCCUACCAAGGCUAUGACGGGUAGAGGACCUGAGAGGGUGGCCCCCCACAAUGGAACUGAAACACGGUCCAUACACCUACGGGUGGCAGCAGUAGGGAAUAUUAGAAAUGGACGAAAGUCUGAUCUAGCAACACCGCGUGUGCGAAGAAGGCCUUCGGGUCGUAAAGCACUUUUUGGAAGGAAUAGGAAGGAAUGUACUUCCAGAAUAAGUCUCGGCUAACUACGUGCCAGCAGCCGCGGUAACACGUAGGAGGCGAACGUUAUCCGGAUUUACUGGGCGUAAAGCGCGUGUAGGUGGUUCUGUAAGUAGGGCGUGAAAGCUCCUGGCUCAACUGGGAGAGGCCGUUCUAAACUACAGAGCUAGAGGAUGGUAGAGGGAGGUGGAAUUCCAGGUGUAGCGGUGGAAUGCGCAGAUAUCUGGAGGAACACCAGUGGCGAAGGCGGCCUCCUGGACCAUUCCUGACACUCAGACGCGAAAGCUAGGGUAGCAAACGGGAUUAGAGACCCCGGUAGUCCUAGCCCUAAACGAUGUAGACUAGGCGUCGGAAGUUUAAUCACUUUCGGUGUCCAAGCUAACGCGAUAAGUCUACCGCCUGGGGACUACGGCCGCAAGGUUAAAACUCAAAGGAAUUGACGG